RNAcentral lists this ribosomal RNA (508 nucleotides) under Enteroctopus hongkongensis. RNAcentral's name for it is "partial 16S ribosomal RNA". It matches the Rfam family "Bacterial large subunit ribosomal RNA", at positions 1816 to 2597 of the family's 2925-position model. The record is from RNAcentral. Lineage: Eukaryota; Metazoa; Mollusca; Cephalopoda; Octopoda; Octopodidae.
GUCUCUUUGAUUUUUAAUAAUAAAGAGUUUGGCCUGCUCAGUGAGAUUUUUAACAGCUGCGGUAUAAUAACUGUACUAAGGUAGCAUAAUAAUUUGCCUUAUAAAUUAAGGCUAGAAUGAAUGGUUUGACGAAAAUUAUACUGUCUCUAUUUUAAUUAGUAGAAAUUAAUUUUUAUAGUGAAAAAGCUUAAAUUAUUUAAAGGGACGAGAAGACCCUAUUGAGCUUUAUAUUAGUUAUAAUAAAUGUUAUUUAUUAUGUUUAUUAUGUUUAUUUUUGAUUGGGGUGAUCAAGGAAUAAAAUAGAUAUUAUUUAACUUCCUUAAUAAAAUAAUUUUUUAGAGUAAUUAACCAAUUAUAUUGCUUAUAUGAUAAGUUACCAUAGGGAUAACAGCGUAAUUUUUUUGGAGAGUUCAUAUUAAAAAAAGAGAUUGCGACCUCGAUGUUGGAUUAAAAUAACCAUAUGGUGAAGAGGCUUUAUAUGGUGAAUCUGUUCGAUUUUUAAAAUUUU